RNAcentral lists this ribosomal RNA (626 nucleotides) under Corynebacterium sp. YIM 100593. Its description in RNAcentral is "bacterial SSU rRNA". It matches the Rfam family "Bacterial small subunit ribosomal RNA", at positions 61 to 701 of the family's 1533-position model. The record is from RNAcentral. Lineage: Bacteria; Bacillati; Actinomycetota; Actinomycetes; Mycobacteriales; Corynebacteriaceae.
GUCGAACGGUAAGGCCCCAGCUUGCUGGGGUACACGAGUGGCGAACGGGUGAGUAACACGUGGGUGACCUGCCCCGCACUUCGGGAUAAGCCUGGGAAACUGGGUCUAAUACCGGAUAGGACCGCACCGUGAGGGUGUGGUGGAAAGUUUUUCGGUGUGGGAUGGGCCCGCGGCCUAUCAGCUUGUUGGUGGGGUAAUGGCCUACCAAGGCGGCGACGGGUAGCCGGCCUGAGAGGGUGGACGGCCACAUUGGGACUGAGACACGGCCCAGACUCCUACGGGAGGCAGCAGUGGGGAAUAUUGCACAAUGGGCGGAAGCCUGAUGCAGCGACGCCGCGUGGGGGAUGACGGCCUUCGGGUUGUAAACUCCUUUCACCAUCGACGAAGGUUUUCUGACGGUAGAUGGAGAAGAAGCACCGGCUAACUACGUGCCAGCAGCCGCGGUAAUACGUAGGGUGCGAGCGUUGUCCGGAAUUACUGGGCGUAAAGAGCUCGUAGGUGGUUUGUCGCGUCGUCUGUGAAAUUCCGGGGCUUAACUCCGGGCGUGCAGGCGAUACGGGCAUAACUUGAGUACUGUAGGGGAGACUGGAAUUCCUGGUGUAGCGGUGAAAUGCGCAGAUAUCAGG